This 448-nucleotide ribosomal RNA is filed under the name uncultured bacterium. RNAcentral describes it as "bacterial SSU rRNA". It matches the Rfam family "Bacterial small subunit ribosomal RNA", at positions 355 to 796 of the family's 1533-position model. The record is from RNAcentral.
UCGAGAAUUUUUCUCAAUGGGCGAAAGCCUGAAGGAGCGACGCCGCGUGGGGGAUGAAUGGCUUCGGCCCGUAAACCCCUGUCAUUUGUGACCAAACCUUUUCAUUUAAUAGGUGAAAAGCUGAUGGUAGCGGAAGAGGAAGGGACGGCUAACUCUGUGCCAGCAGCCGCGGUAAUACAGAGGUCCCAAGCGUUGUUCGGAUUCACUGGGCGUAAAGGGUGCGUAGGUGGCCGGGUAAGUCUGAUGUGAAAUCUCGAAGCUUAACUUCGAAACUGCAUUGGAUACUAUUCGGCUGGAGGGUUGGAGGGGGGACUGGAAUUCUCGGUGUAGCAGUGAAAUGCGUAGAUAUCGAGAGGAACACCAGUGGCGAAGGCGAGUCCCUGGACAACUCCUGACACUGAGGCACGAAAGCUAGGGGAGCAAACAGGAUUAGAUACCCCUGUAGUCC